CGGCCGCCCGCCGUCUCCAGAGGCGCAGGACUGGGUAUCUGACUUGGGCGGGGGCGGGGGCGGGGGCGCUGACGUCAGUCCCCUGCUGAGGGCCAGUGUCUGGGCGGGGAGGCGCCGGCUCAGGCCUGCUAGCCCCUCGGCGGCGGGUGAUGGAUGGCCGGCCUGACUGCUGUGGGCAGGCCGCGUCCACAAGAGCGGCCAGUGUCCAGUCUCCCGCCCGGACUGGCUUCGCGUCGCUACUCAGCUCACGCCAUCGCCCCCGUCGGCUGCUCUUCGCAAACGCUGCUCUCUGUGCCUGCAAACAAACAAGCAUUCCCCAAAGGGACCUGUUGCCUUUGGAUUGAAACUGCAGCAUCGGUCUCCUGGGUCCCCAGCCUGCCAGCCCAUCCUGAAGAUUUUGAACUUGCCACACUCUGUAAUCACGUCUUUGACCAAAGCUCUCAGGGACCCAAAAUAUAGACACCUGCAAAGAAGGUGGAAGUUCCUGGAGUAAGGAGGAAGAGAACUAGCUUGAAGAGGAGAACUAGUCUCAUCUCCCUCUGCACAGAUAUGAAAUCAUCUGAAAGUGAAAGAAAGAAAGAGAGAGAAAGAAGGAAGAAAGAAGAAAAAGCAUUCCAAAUUCAAAGCAGCACAUACUUUCAUCCUCUGCCUCUUGUCUCUGUGAAUUCAUGAAGUAACUCUGAGAAAUAAGAAAGCAUGAGGAGCAGCAGCAGCAGCACCCUGUGAAAUCAGUCACCAGCCAGGAUGUGCUUUGGAAAGUGUCUGCAGCAGCAGCCUAUUGAGGCCAGACAGCACCUGAAGAAUGCCUCUCAGAGAAAGACAUUUCCGCUGUCUUCAGAAGGGAGCGUCCUUUUGUUCUCUUUCCAGCAGGUCACAUGGCCAGUCAGCCUCCUCCAGAGCAGGAGAAAUUCCUCAGGAGUUCCCUUGAAUUGUGCUUCUGUUCUAUAUCAGGCCACAAGUGGUCAGGCUGCACUGUUUACAAGAUACCCUGUGGCUUCUCAGAGUGACCUGGUUUCAGAGAGCAGGUCCCAGAUGAAACAUGAAAGCUGUCCAGGCUUCCAGGACAGCAAAAGGCAUUUGUCUGUGAGGCAAGCCAUUUGAUUUAGAGAAGAUCAAAUGAUCUGUGAAAGGGGCUUGCACAGUGGAGUUCUCUGAUUCAUUAAGGAAUCCAGUGGAAUGUGGUAAUUUGUGCAGGCUAAUCAGGCUCCCUUAAUCCCUCUGCCUGAUUUAAAAAAAAAAAAAUCCUCUGAAUCAUUUGGUACUUAAACAGCACAGGAUCCCAGGAAGAAGACAAGCAAACCUAUAAAUGUCCUUUGCUUCUAGGAGAAAAUCAAUAUCAACAUAGUCCCUUUUUCUUUUGUGUUAUUUUUUUUUCCUGAGAUCAUCUAUAGGCAAAUGCAUUUUAAGUCAUUUUGGCAAGAGAGCAAUUGGACCUUUUCAAUGUUGUUGUUGGAGGAGAGAAAACAACAGUUGAGUAAGAUUUUUAAAAGUUCUGUUAAUGGAGUAGAGCAGAAGUUGUUUUUCUUAAUUGAAAAGUAUGAAGACAGAUUUGAUAACAAUUUUCCCCUUCAUCUCCUCCCUACAUGUUAAAAAUCCAAUUAAUUUUUAAAAAGAAAUUUUAUGAAGGAAUGAAAUAUAUUUCCUUGUACAUGAAGGAAAAGUUUUACUUUGCAUACUGCUUUAAAAUGUGCCUUUCCACCUGUCCUGGGAGUCUAAGGUUCAGGACUGUCUUUGUCACAUGUACACUUAUUUUUGAUGGGUUAAAUGUAAAUGGGAGUAAAUGAUAGAAAAAUGUGAACUGUGUAUACGCUUGGAUCUUAAAAAAGUUUGCGCUCCCCAGUUCCAUGACCCUCAUGGAAGAUGUAGAACCUGAACUUCAUGGGAGAAUGAGAUCAUAAUGUAAAUGAAAGACAUAGAACAUAAGAGAGAUAGAGAUGAAAGGAAAAUGAAACAGGAAAUUCUAGUGGCAAAACUCUGUUCUCAAGUCCCAUUAAAGGAAAACACCAGAAUUAACGAGAGCGUGGAGCCCACUUGAUCCCGUAUUUAUUUUGGAAGAUGUCAGCCUUCCAUGCGCAGACUGGAGGCAGAGAGGAGACUCCAGUUGUGGAGCUGCUGGGCUCCCAUCUGAUGGCCACCAACCUGCAACAUGCAAGGAGUAUAAGCGCUUUUGUUCAUAACUCAUGAAGAAAUUUCUUCCACAUUAAAUAUUUUCAUUUCAUGGUCCUUGAAAAUGAGGUAAGUUUUAAUAUAAUUCUAGGCCUCAAAUUCAACAUAUAUGUUCUCAAUCAGCAAUGAAAGAAUUGGAUUCUCCGUCAAGCUGGCUGUAAACAAGGAUGUCUCUGUUGCACUUUUUAAAAUAUUACUUAUUUCCCCCAAUGGGUGGCUAUUAAUGCAGGACUCUCAGGGAUUCCCUUAGCUGUCUUAAUUUACCAUGGUUAUGAAGUGCUCAGAAGUACCAUGCUGAACCAGAAGAAGAAGACUGUAACAAUAACAUGCCUUUGAAAAGUUUUGAUGUGCUGCACAAUCUCAUUUCAACUGAUCAUCUCAAGCUUCCGGAAAUGCAGGUGGCAAGCAGCAUUAGGAUGAUUAUAUUCUAAAUGUGGUGUUGAGUUAGAGCAAGACUAUAAGAAUUGACCCAAAGUUACAGAAUGGACUUGAGAAUGGAGCUUUGCCACUAGGAUUUCCUGUUUCCUUUUACAUAUUUCAGCAAGCUGAAAGAAAGCCAACAUUCCAUCAGCUUUGUCUUGUUCCUCAUACAGAUGAUA
Molecule: long non-coding RNA, 2765 nt
Organism: Equus quagga
Lineage: Eukaryota; Metazoa; Chordata; Mammalia; Perissodactyla; Equidae
Exons: 6
Source: RefSeq, a predicted model, not a curated record